Pyrus x bretschneideri (Chinese white pear) is the source of this 1382-nucleotide long non-coding RNA. RefSeq lists it as uncharacterized. The transcript is spliced from 4 exons. The record is from RefSeq and is a predicted model, not a curated record. Lineage: Eukaryota; Viridiplantae; Streptophyta; Magnoliopsida; Rosales; Rosaceae.
UGAAUUGUGGGUAAAUAAUGUCUUUGUUUUUUUACAAAUUCCAUUUGUUUCUCUUUUUAAGUUAAUCAUUUCUUUUGUGUUUGAAGGACUUAAGUUAAUUGUUUUGGAAUUCUAAUAUUAGAAAGUUAUAAGUCAAGUUUAGUGUCUCAAGACUUCAUCAAAAAUAUUGGACUAUAAAACCCCUCAAACAAAGAAAUUUAACUCGUGUGAUUUACUGUUAAAAAUAUAGAUAAAGGAUAUAAAUGUCCAAAUAAAAAUAAAAUAAACAAAAGCAGAAAACAUAGGAAAUAAAAAAUAAACUAAAAGGAAAAAAAAUGGAAACACGAACGUGAAGGAACCCACGUUGCAGACUAGCGGUUCCAGUUCACUUGAUUGUUGCAACCUAUAUAACUAUUGCAUACGCACUCAUUAGCUGCAUAAGAAAUUAAAAACCUACCCAGUUGGUAAGCCAUUUGAUUCUCAUGUUGGAUUUUUUGGUUUAUCUCUCUAUCUUUCAAAGUUUUCUCCACAUAUAUGUUCUCGAAUGCAAAGUCAAUUCCUUCUCUUCUUCUUUAAUUUGGCAGAUGGGGUUGUCAAUUUGAUUCUCCACCCAAGACAGAGAGUCCGUGUGUAAAGAGAGAAGGCAAAGAGGGUCUGGCAUUUGGACGGCGACGAUUGAGUUGCUGCUGCUACUCAAAAAAUGGAUUGCAACAUGGACAAGUACAUAUAAAUACCCCUUCUCAUUCUUUCUAUCAUUUUAGCUUCUGGUUGAGUUGCUACUUGAGUAUCAUUAAAGUAAGAAAAUAGCGCUGCUAUAGCAUAAGAAGAGGGAAGAGAAACAGUUGAGUCAUCCUCUUCUUGUUUUAGAAUGUGGAGGACGGGUUUAGAUGGAGGAACCAAAGUUGUUCUGCAAUAUCUCAAGGACAAAUUGAAAUGACUAGAAGAUUAGAGAUGGAUACAUACACGAGGGAUAUUGCAAAAAAUUACAGGUAUGCGUCCCUGGAUUGCUUUUCGGGUAAAGGAGCUUAUUGGAUUCGAAGAUGAAGUUCUUAUCAACUUUAUCUAUGGUCUUUUGGAAGGAAGGAUAAUUAGCUUUAUAUGUUUAGUGCUUUGUUCAUGGAGUGAGACUAGCUGAUAGGUUUACCAGUAGUAGUUUGUUUAGACCCUAGGCGCUAUGACUCUUUGCAACUCCAUUUGAAAUAAAAAACAGGUGCAAAAAAAUAUGCUAACUGCCAAAGCAAUAUAGAAGUAUAACCCAAAUUAAUUCCACAGUUGUGUAUCUUUUGGAAUUAGCAAGAGUUGUGCCUUAUAAUGUAAAGGUGGAAUUAGCAAGGGUUGUGCCUUAUAAUGUAAGGGUGCAAUUAUUGUGUGGAGACAUUUUGCAGUAUAAUUUAUAUUUGUUA